GGCUGACNCCGAGUCGUUACCCUAACCUGUAUUGGAGGGGGAUGCCGAAGGCAGGGCUGGUGACUGGGGUGAAGUCGUAACAAGGUAGCCGUACCGGAAGGUGUGGCUGGAUCACCUCCUUU
This 122-nucleotide ribosomal RNA is filed under the name Phormidium sp. 6A10. RNAcentral describes it as "partial 16S ribosomal RNA". It matches the Rfam family "Bacterial small subunit ribosomal RNA", at positions 1414 to 1533 of the family's 1533-position model. Lineage: Bacteria; Bacillati; Cyanobacteriota; Cyanophyceae; Oscillatoriales; Oscillatoriaceae. The record is from RNAcentral.